RNAcentral lists this ribosomal RNA (261 nucleotides) under uncultured archaeon. RNAcentral describes it as "partial 16S ribosomal RNA". It matches the Rfam family "Archaeal small subunit ribosomal RNA", at positions 748 to 1008 of the family's 1478-position model. The record is from RNAcentral.
CAACCGUAAACUAUGCGCGUUAGGUGUAUCGGUGACCACGAGUUACCGAGGUGCCGAAGGGAAACCGUGAAACGUGCCGCCUGGGAAGUACGGUCGCAAGGCUGAAACUUAAAGGAAUUGGCGGGGGAGCACCACAACAGGUGGAGCCUGCGGUUUAAUUGGACUCAACGCCGGGAAGCUCACCGGAUAGGACAGCAGAAUGAUUGCCGGGCUGAAGACCCUGCAUGACUAGCUGAGAGGAGGUGCAUGGCGUCAGUGACU